GUCCCCAGGCCCAUGAGUUCACUCUGUCUCCCUCCUUGGCUCCAUGCAGCUGGCCUGUGCGCCUGCUGUCACUUCCUGAGCCCGGCUGACUGCUCCCUGGGCUGGGGUGCUGAAGCCUGGCCUGGGGCCUGGGUACAGUUGAAGUGCCAGCCGGUGUCCCCAAGUGCAGGGACACAGUGGAGAUGGCUGGGACCCUCCCCCACCACAGGACCCAUGGGCCUCUCCCCCAGGCUCUGAGACCUGUCUCCAUAGUCUCAGAGUCACCGAGGAGGGCCAGAAACAGAGUAUAGUGUGGAGGGGACCAGCCUGGACACAAGCCCCAGUGGGACCAGGUGUUGUCAGGUGGGGAGGACUGUUCCCUUCCUGCUGGGUGAGGGGACCCCACGAGGACAACCCCAGCCUUAGCAUUGGUGGUCCUGGACUCCAUUUCCCAUUUCUUCCAGAGAAUGUGGGCCUUCAGCCCCACCCAGCUCUGCCCUGGGGAAGCUGUUGCCCUGCCAUGUGUUCCUGGGGAACCCAGCAGACAGCUGCUGCUCUGUAGACUUUGAC
This 549-nucleotide long non-coding RNA is filed under the name Fukomys damarensis (Damara mole-rat). RNAcentral's name for it is "lncRNA (ENSFDAG00000024699.1)". The record is from RNAcentral. Lineage: Eukaryota; Metazoa; Chordata; Mammalia; Rodentia; Bathyergidae.